CACGUAGGGCGCAAGCGUUGUCCGGAAUCAUUGGGCGUAAAGAGCUCGUAGGCGGUUUGUCACGUCUGCUGUGAAAACUGGGGGCUUAACCCCCAGCUUGCAGUGGAUACGGGCAGACUAGAGGUAGGUAGGGGAGAAUGGAAUUCCCGGUGUAGCGGUGAAAUGCGCAGAUAUCGGGAGGAACACCGGUGGCGAAGGCGGUUCUCUGGGCCUUACCUGACGCUGAGGAGCGAAAGCGUGGGGAGCGAACAGG
This 253-nucleotide ribosomal RNA is filed under the name uncultured bacterium. RNAcentral describes it as "partial 16S ribosomal RNA". It matches the Rfam family "Bacterial small subunit ribosomal RNA", at positions 524 to 776 of the family's 1533-position model. The record is from RNAcentral.